UAGUCUUUAUGUAUUAAUGUGGUCUAGUAACACUAAUGCCAUAGGACACGGCAAGGAAGUGAAGAAGUGGCAGCAUGGGCACACAUUGGGCAGACACAAUAACGUCUCUGACAAAGACCACUGCAGGCUAGCAUGCACCGGGCCCAGGAUUGAGUGGCGUGAAGAACACUGGUAAAGAAUGGCCUCAUUCGUCAUGUCCCUCAGCCACAAGGAUACAACAAAGAAGAAGAGAAUUAUUCUUCUAAAAUUUACUUCUGCAGCUCAUUAAUUUCCAUUUUCGACUCUGCUACUUUUUCAACCGGCCGCUUUCAUUUUGGUUUACCUAUAACAAAGUAAUGUUUUAGAAUAGUACUGCAUAAAAACAAUAAAAAAAUUGUUCACAAA
This is a long non-coding RNA of Leguminivora glycinivorella, 384 nucleotides long. RefSeq lists it as uncharacterized. The transcript has 2 exons. Lineage: Eukaryota; Metazoa; Arthropoda; Insecta; Lepidoptera; Tortricidae. The record is from RefSeq and is a predicted model, not a curated record.